Molecule: ribosomal RNA, 180 nt
Filed under: uncultured Gammaproteobacteria bacterium
Lineage: Bacteria; Pseudomonadati; Pseudomonadota; Gammaproteobacteria
Description: partial 16S ribosomal RNA
Source: RNAcentral
GGGCCGGGGCUUCUCUUUCAGGUACGUCAUUAUCUUCGGUGUUAACUUACUGCCCUUCCUCCAACCUAAAGCGCUCUACCAUCCGAACGGCUUCUUCCUUCCGCGGCUGGCUGGAUCAGGCUUUCCCCCAUUGUGCGUAUUCCCCACUGCUGCCUCCCGUAGGAGUUGGGAUGAUAAUGC